Molecule: long non-coding RNA, 901 nt
Organism: Hipposideros armiger (great roundleaf bat)
Lineage: Eukaryota; Metazoa; Chordata; Mammalia; Chiroptera; Hipposideridae
Exons: 4
Source: RefSeq, a predicted model, not a curated record
CCUGGCCUGGGCACCGCGGGGGGAGUGCUGCGCCCCCGCCCCGCGUCCUGCGCGCGCGCGCGCACGCGCUGCCCCAGCGCCCGCCACCAAGGGGGCCUGCGGGAGGGGCGCCCGCGGCCUCGGCGCCCCCUGGCUGCCCGGCGAGGCCCCUCCGUCGCUUCAGCGCUGGCCAGGGACGGAUUAGGAAGCCCGGGCGCAGAGACCAGGCUGGAGGGUCAAGGUCACUCAGCGGGCGCGGGGAGGAUCCCAGGAAAAGCGGCUGGGGCCUGGAGCGACCUUAGGCCGGUGCGCGUCGUCUGGGGGAACUGAAGUCAGCACGGCUGGUCACUCCCGCCUUGCCCAGGUUAUCUUCCAGUGGCUUGGCCCAGGGUAAGCCCAGAGGGAGCCUGGAGCUGGGAUGCGCUGUAUGUGACCACAAGGGACUGAAGAUGAGGACAGUGAACCCAACACCCUCGUCUUUUGGGUCAUCCAGGCUGCUAAGGACAGAAAUCAUUUCCUUCACUGAGGUCUUUGAUCAGCAGAGUAACCUCUUAGAGUCCUCCAAGCCUUCUGGAACCCCCACAAUAAAGCCCUAGAGUUGGGAUUUCAGGUGCCCUGGCAAGCUGGAGCAGGGACAACUGGGACGCAGGGAGGUCCUCCUUUCGGACACGGGCAGAUCUGUAGCCCAGCCUUGCAGGCCCUCAUGUUGACCUUGGCCCAGCUCCCAUGUCACCGCCUCCAGGAAGGAGUCUCUAAUCUCAAGCUGGUCAGCGGCCUGGCUGGGCCCCCGCAGGCCCACAGUACCCCUGCUCAGUCUGCUUUGCAGAGAACUGGGUAAAGAAGAAAACACGACAGGAGACACGCUCCUCUUCCUGCCUGGCCCCUGAAUGGUUCAGCCCCAGGGCUGGGGCCACCUAUAUAA